RNAcentral lists this ribosomal RNA (356 nucleotides) under uncultured marine bacterium. Its description in RNAcentral is "bacterial SSU rRNA". It matches the Rfam family "Bacterial small subunit ribosomal RNA", at positions 1 to 368 of the family's 1533-position model. The record is from RNAcentral.
UAGAGUUUGAUCAUGGCUCAGAUUGAACGCUGGCGGCAGGCCUAACACAUGCAAGUCGAGCGCGAAAACACUUCGGUGUGAGUAGAGCGGCGGUCGGGUGAGUAAUGCUUGGGAAUCUGCCCAGUAGUGGGGGAUAACGUGUGGAAACGCACGCUAAUACCGCGUGCGUCCUACGGGAGAAAGCAGGGGAUCUUCGGACCUUGCGCUAUUGGAUGAGCCCAAGUCAGAUUAGCUAGUUGGUGAGGUAAUGGCUCACCAAGGCGACGAUCUGUAGCUGGUCUGAGAGGAUGAUCAGCCACACUGGGACUGAGACACGGCCCAGACUCCUACGGGAGGCAGCAGUGGGGAAUAUUGCA